This 3026-nucleotide ribosomal RNA is filed under the name Salmonella enterica subsp. enterica. RNAcentral's name for it is "bacterial LSU rRNA". It matches the Rfam family "Bacterial large subunit ribosomal RNA". The record is from RNAcentral. Lineage: Bacteria; Pseudomonadati; Pseudomonadota; Gammaproteobacteria; Enterobacterales; Enterobacteriaceae.
GGGUUGUGAGGUUAAGCGACUAAGCGUACACGGUGGAUGCCCUGGCAGUCAGAGGCGAUGAAGGGCGUGCUAAUCUGCGAUAAGCGCCGGUAAGGUGAUAUGAACCGUUAUAACCGGCGAUACCCGAAUGGGGAAACCCAGUGUGACUCGUCACACUAUCAUUAACUGAAUCCAUAGGUUAAUGAGGCGAACCGGGGGAACUGAAACAUCUAAGUACCCCGAGGAAAAGAAAUCAACCGAGAUUCCCCCAGUAGCGGCGAGCGAACGGGGAGGAGCCCAGAGCCUGAAUCAGCAUGUGUGUUAGUGGAAGCGUCUGGAAAGGCGCGCGAUACAGGGUGACAGCCCCGUACACAAAAGCGCAUGUGCUGUGAGCUCGAUGAGUAGGGCGGGACACGUGGUAUCCUGUCUGAAUAUGGGGGGACCAUCCUCCAAGGCUAAAUACUCCUGACUGACCGAUAGUGAACCAGUACCGUGAGGGAAAGGCGAAAAGAACCCCGGCGAGGGGAGUGAAAAAGAACCUGAAACCGUGUACGUACAAGCAGUGGGAGCCCCACCACUAAGCCAGUGGUGAACUCCACAUACGCAUCCUUUGCUGAGGAUACGGUUAACGGAGCGAAAGCGACGUUCAACCGCAAAAGAAGCAGAGGGGGCUUAGUGGUGGGGUGACUGCGUACCUUUUGUAUAAUGGGUCAGCGACUUAUAUUCUGUAGCAAGGUUAACCGAAUAGGGGAGCCGGAGGGAAACCGAGUCUUAAUUGGGCGUUAAGUUGCAGGGUAUAGACCCGAAACCCGGUGAUCUAGCCAUGGGCAGGUUGAAGGUUGGGUAACACUAACUGGAGGACCGAACCGACUAAUGUUGAAAAAUUAGCGGAUGACCUGUGGCUGGGGGUGAAAGGCCAAUCAAACCGGGAGAUAGCUGGUUCUCCCCGAAAGCUAUUUAGGUAGCGCCUCGUGAAUUCAUCUCCGGGGGUAGAGCACUGUUUCGGCUAGGGGGCCAUCCCGGCUUACCAACCCGAUGCAAACUGCGAAUACCGGAGAAUGUUAUCACGGGAGACACACGGCGGGUGCUAACGUCCGUCGUGAAGAGGGAAACAACCCAGACCGCCAGCUAAGGUCCCAAAGUCAUGGUUAAGUGGGAAACGAUGUGGGAAGGCCCAGACAGCCAGGAUGUUGGCUUAGAAGCAGCCAUCAUUUAAAGAAAGCGUAAUAGCUCACUGGUCGAGUCGGCCUGCGCGGAAGAUGUAACGGGGCUAAACCAUGCACCGAAGCUGCGGCAGCGACACUCAGGUGUUGUUGGGUAGGGGAGCGUUCUGUAAGCCUGCGAAGGUGGCCUGUGAGGGUUGCUGGAGGUAUCAGAAGUGCGAAUGCUGACAUAAGUAACGAUAAAGCGGGUGAAAAGCCCGCUCGCCGGAAGACCAAGGGUUCCUGUCCAACGUUAAUCGGGGCAGGGUGAGUCGACCCCUAAGGCGAGGCCGAAAGGCGUAGUCGAUGGGAAACGGGUUAAUAUUCCCGUACUUGGUGUUACUGCGAAGGGGGGACGGAGAAGGCUAUGUUGGCCGGGCGACGGUUGUCCCGGUUUAAGCGUGUAGGCUGGUUUUCCAGGCAAAUCCGGAAAAUCAAGGCUGAGGCGUGACGACGAGGCACUACGGUGCUGAAGCAACAAAUGCCCUGCUUCCAGGAAAAGCCUCUAAGCAUCAGGUAACAUCAAAUCGUACCCCAAACCGACACAGGUGGUCAGGUAGAGAAUACCAAGGCGCUUGAGAGAACUCGGGUGAAGGAACUAGGCAAAAUGGUGCCGUAACUUCGGGAGAAGGCACGCUGACAUGUAGGUGAAGUGAUUUACUCAUGGAGCUGAAGUCAGUCGAAGAUACCAGCUGGCUGCAACUGUUUAUUAAAAACACAGCACUGUGCAAACACGAAAGUGGACGUAUACGGUGUGACGCCUGCCCGGUGCCGGAAGGUUAAUUGAUGGGGUCAGCGCAAGCGAAGCUCCUGAUCGAAGCCCCGGUAAACGGCGGCCGUAACUAUAACGGUCCUAAGGUAGCGAAAUUCCUUGUCGGGUAAGUUCCGACCUGCACGAAUGGCGUAAUGAUGGCCAGGCUGUCUCCACCCGAGACUCAGUGAAAUUGAACUCGCUGUGAAGAUGCAGUGUACCCGCGGCAAGACGGAAAGACCCCGUGAACCUUUACUAUAGCUUGACACUGAACAUUGAGCCUUGAUGUGUAGGAUAGGUGGGAGGCUUUGAAGUGUGGACGCCAGUCUGCAUGGAGCCGACCUUGAAAUACCACCCUUUAAUGUUUGAUGUUCUAACGUGGACCCGUGAUCCGGGUUGCGGACAGUGUCUGGUGGGUAGUUUGACUGGGGCGGUCUCCUCCUAAAGAGUAACGGAGGAGCACGAAGGUUGGCUAAUCCUGGUCGGACAUCAGGAGGUUAGUGCAAUGGCAUAAGCCAGCUUGACUGCGAGCGUGACGGCGCGAGCAGGUGCGAAAGCAGGUCAUAGUGAUCCGGUGGUUCUGAAUGGAAGGGCCAUCGCUCAACGGAUAAAAGGUACUCCGGGGAUAACAGGCUGAUACCGCCCAAGAGUUCAUAUCGACGGCGGUGUUUGGCACCUCGAUGUCGGCUCAUCACAUCCUGGGGCUGAAGUAGGUCCCAAGGGUAUGGCUGUUCGCCAUUUAAAGUGGUACGCGAGCUGGGUUUAGAACGUCGUGAGACAGUUCGGUCCCUAUCUGCCGUGGGCGCUGGAGAACUGAGGGGGGCUGCUCCUAGUACGAGAGGACCGGAGUGGACGCAUCACUGGUGUUCGGGUUGUCAUGCCAAUGGCACUGCCCGGUAGCUAAAUGCGGAAGAGAUAAGUGCUGAAAGCAUCUAAGCACGAAACUUGCCCCGAGAUGAGUUCUCCCUGAGACUUUAGGUCUCCUGAAGGAACGUUGAAGACGACGACGUUGAUAGGCCGGGUGUGUAAGCGCAGCGAUGCGUUGAGCUAACCGGUACUAAUGAACCGUGAGGCUUAACCUUACAACGCCGAAG